RNAcentral lists this ribosomal RNA (465 nucleotides) under uncultured Klebsiella sp. RNAcentral describes it as "bacterial SSU rRNA". It matches the Rfam family "Bacterial small subunit ribosomal RNA", at positions 338 to 795 of the family's 1533-position model. Lineage: Bacteria; Pseudomonadati; Pseudomonadota; Gammaproteobacteria; Enterobacterales; Enterobacteriaceae. The record is from RNAcentral.
CCUACGGGUGGCUGCAGUGGGGAAUAUUGCACAAUGGGCGCAAGCCUGAUGCAGCCAUGCCGCGUGUGUGGAGAAGGCCUUCGGGUUGUAAAGCACUUUCAGCGGGGAGGAAGGCGGUGAGGUUAAUAACCUCAUCGAUUGACGUUACCCGCAGAAGAAGCACCGGCUAACUCCGUGCCAGCAGCCGCGGUAAUACGGAGGGUGCAAGCGUUAAUCGGAAUUACUGGGCGUAAAGCGCACGCAGGCGGUCUGUCAAGUCGGAUGUGAAAUCCCCGGGCUCAACCUGGGAACUGCAUUCGAAACUGGCAGGCUAGAGUCUUGUAGAGGGGGGUAGAAUUCCAGGUGUAGCGGUGAAAUGCGUAGAGAUCUGGAGGAAUACCGGUGGCGAAGGCGGCCCCCUGGACAAAGACUGACGCUCAGGUGCGAAAGCGUGGGGAGCAAACAGGAUUAGAUACCCUAGUAGUC